RNAcentral lists this transfer RNA (95 nucleotides) under Elizabethkingia anophelis. RNAcentral describes it as "tRNA-Leu". It matches the Rfam family "tRNA". From Rfam's summary of the family: Transfer RNA (tRNA) molecules are approximately 80 nucleotides in length. Their secondary structure includes four short double-helical elements and three loops (D, anti-codon, and T loops). The record is from RNAcentral. Lineage: Bacteria; Pseudomonadati; Bacteroidota; Flavobacteriia; Flavobacteriales; Weeksellaceae.
UCCCUCGUGGCGGAAUGGUAGACGCUGAACUCUGCGAUAGAUUGCUCUAAAAACAAAAUGAGCACAUUGUGCGGGUUCGAUUCCCGCCGUGGGAG